Molecule: ribosomal RNA, 809 nt
Filed under: uncultured bacterium
Lineage: Bacteria
Description: bacterial SSU rRNA
Rfam family: Bacterial small subunit ribosomal RNA
Source: RNAcentral
GUCGAGCGAACGGAUGGGAGCUUGCCUCCCUGUAUGUUAUACGCGCGCGACAGGGGAGUAUCACGUGUGUGUCCUGCCUGUAUGACAGUGGGAUCUCCGGGGGAAAGGGGGGCUUACCGGAUAUAACAUUUUGAACCGCAUGGUUCAAAAUUGAAAGGCGGCUUCCGCUGUCUCUUAUAGAUGGCCCCGCGUCACUUUCUCUUUUUGGAGGUGUAGCGGCUCCCCAGGGACAAUAUGCAUCCCAGACCUGAGGGGGAGAUCGGCCACUGGGACUGAGACACACCCCCCACACCCCUACGAGGGGCAACUAUGGGAUCUCCCCCGCAGGGGAAAAAUCUCAGAGAGAACCGCCCCGCGAGUGAGAUGAGGGCUUUCAUCGCAUAAAUCUCUGUUGUUAGGGAAGAACAAGUGCUAGUUGAAUAAGCUGGCCUUUUGGCGGUAUCUAACCAAAAAGCCGCGGAUAACUACGUGCCAACCGCCGCGAAAAUACAUAGGUGGCACGCGUUCUGCAGAAUUAGUGGGCGUAAGGCGCGCACAGGUGGUUUCUUAUCUCUGAUGUGAACCCCCGCGGCUCACCCGAGGAGUCUCUGUGACCAGUGGAACACUUGAGUGCAGAAGAGGAGAGUAUAUUUCCAUGUGUAGCGGAAAUAUGCAUAGAUAUGUGGAAGCACACCUGUGGAGAGCGAGACUUUCUGCUGUGUAUCAGACAGAGAAGCGCAAACGCGUGGAGAGCACACAAGAUUAUACCCCGUGGUUGUCCACGCCAUACACGAUGAGUGCUGAGUGUAAGGAGUUUUUCCCCCCCUUAU